Molecule: regulatory RNA element, 46 nt
Organism: Strongyloides venezuelensis
Lineage: Eukaryota; Metazoa; Nematoda; Chromadorea; Rhabditida; Strongyloididae
Rfam family: Histone 3' UTR stem-loop
About the family: The mRNAs of metazoan histone genes lack a poly-A tail. 3' end processing occurs at a site between a highly conserved stem-loop (modelled by this family) and a purine rich region around 20 nts downstream (the histone downstream element, or HDE).
Source: Rfam
UGAACGGCUCUCUUUAGAGCCACCUAUUAUUAGAAAUAAAUUAUUU